AAUCUCUAGUAGGGCUGGGGUGUAGAGGG
Molecule: non-coding RNA, 29 nt
Filed under: Cricetulus griseus (Chinese hamster)
Lineage: Eukaryota; Metazoa; Chordata; Mammalia; Rodentia; Cricetidae
Source: RNAcentral